This 658-nucleotide unclassified non-coding RNA is filed under the name Hevea brasiliensis (rubber tree). The record is from RNAcentral. Lineage: Eukaryota; Viridiplantae; Streptophyta; Magnoliopsida; Malpighiales; Euphorbiaceae.
GCUCUCAUUUUAUUCUUAACUGAUUGAAGUUUAAUUCAAUCAUUCAAGUUAAACACAAGGUCUAUGUUUUCUCCUAUAUAGUUGUAUGUAUGCAUCUGUUGCUGUGAAAAAUAUAUGCUGUCCAAGCAAAGUCAUACCUAGUGAGCACUUGCAACUUUAUGUUGAAGGGAAGACUUACUGUUUAGCGCUUUUGUUUUAAGGACUGAUCAAGUGAAGUUCGAAAUUUACAUGCUUCUCAGUUCUCAUUAUGCUUAGUUGCUAAUCAAUUUCCUAUUUAAUUUGCUACUCUUUCGUGUCUCUUAAAUGUUUUAUGAGCAAUUAAAUAAGAAAUAAUCUGUCACUGCGAGUAGAUAACAAGAAUUAACUCCGAGAAUAAGAUGUGCUAUACAUAUUGAUGAGCCCAGUGAUGGUUGAUUUAAUGCAUACUGUAGAAAUGAUGAAUGUUCUAAAGUUUAAUUAUUUGUAGUUUGGAGGGAAUCACUCAUUAUAAUUUUUAAGCAUCAAGUGAGCAAGUAUAUUUAUUCCAUGUCAAACAUGUUUCGGUCAGGUGCAAUAUGUGGUCAUUCCUUUUGCUGAACUAAAAAACUACGGAUCUUUAACACAAUCUUGUUCUUGAAUCAUGCAAUUACUUAACAGGUGCAGCUAUUCAUUUAUUUUA